Molecule: transfer RNA, 67 nt
Filed under: Charybdis natator
Lineage: Eukaryota; Metazoa; Arthropoda; Malacostraca; Decapoda; Portunidae
Description: tRNA-Ile
Source: RNAcentral
AAUAUAGUGCCUGAUUUAAAAGGGUAGCUUUGAUAGAGCUAAUCAUGUAGUAACUCUACCUAUAUUA